GACGAACGCUGGCGGCGUGCUUAACACAUGCGAGUCGAACGAAGAGCGAUGGAAGCUUGCUUCUAUCAAUCUUAGUGGCGAACGGGUGAGUAACGCGUAAUCAACCUGCCCUUCAGAGGGGGACAACAGUUGGAAACGACUGCUAAUACCGCAUACGAUCUAAUCUCGGCAUCGAGGAUAGAUGAAAGGUGGCCUCUACAUGUAAGCUAUCACUGAAGGAGGGGAUUGCGUCUGAUUAGCUAGUUGGAGGGGUAACGGCCCACCAAGGCGAUGAUCGGUAGCCGGUCUGAGAGGAUGAACGGCCACAUUGGGACUGAGACACGGCCCAGACUCCUACGGGAGGCAGCAGUGGGGAAUCUUCCGCAAUGGACGAAAGUCUGACGGAGCAACGCCGCGUGAGUGAUGACGGCCUUCGGGUUGUAAAGCUCUGUUAAUCGGGACGAAAGGCCUUCUUGCGAAUAGUGAGAAGGAUUGACGGUACCGGAAUAGAAAGCCACGGCUAACUACGUG
Molecule: ribosomal RNA, 510 nt
Filed under: uncultured bacterium
Lineage: Bacteria
Description: partial 16S ribosomal RNA
Rfam family: Bacterial small subunit ribosomal RNA
Source: RNAcentral